RNAcentral lists this signal recognition particle RNA (299 nucleotides) under Aotus nancymaae (Ma's night monkey). Its description in RNAcentral is "Metazoan signal recognition particle RNA (ENSANAG00000000283.1)". It matches the Rfam family "Metazoan signal recognition particle RNA". Rfam says of the family: The signal recognition particle (SRP) is a universally conserved ribonucleoprotein. The record is from RNAcentral. Lineage: Eukaryota; Metazoa; Chordata; Mammalia; Primates; Aotidae.
ACUGGGCGUGGUGGCACGUGCCUGUAGUCCCAGCUACUCGGGAGGCUGAGAUGGGAGGAUCGCUUGAGCCCAGGAGUUCUAGGCUGUAGUGCACUAUGCUGAUUGGGUGUCUGCACCAAGUUUGGCAUCAAUAUGGUGACCUCCUGGGAGCCGGGGACCACCAGGUUGCCUAAGGAGGGGUGAAGCAGCCCAGGUCAGAAACGGAGCAGGUCACAACUCCCGUGCUGAUCAGUAGUGGGAUCGCGCCUGUGAACAGCCACUGCACUCCAGCCUGGGCAACACAGUGAGACCCCAUCUCU